CAAAGCCAUAAAAACAAAGAAAAAGAAUGUUCUUGUUUUUUUUUUGUUUUCUCCCACACGAAGCAAAACCAACAAAUUGAAUAAAAAUACCUGAAAACUUUAAACUUGAACACUUUAUCACUUAGACUUUGAUUUCUUCUUUGGGUUCUUCAGUUGUGAUAGUCUUAGAGCUUGGAGAUCUUCCAAUGAUUGCUUUCUUUGCCUUAACAAGAGAUUGUUUCACCUUUGAUAUAAUGCUGUUUGAAUGUUUUUGCUUAGCAGGAGCUUCUUUGGUUGUGACUUCUGGUUGUUGUUUCGCCUCAUCGAUCUCUUUAGCAACAGGUGCUGUUUCUACAACUUCUGCUACUUUUUCUGUAAUUGGUUCCUCUUGUUUGUUUGCUGCAGCUUCUUUCUCUACUGAUUCUGUAUCAGUUUCUUUCAAAGUCUCUUCGCUCUUUCCUUCCGCAACAGGUGUGUCAGUAUCUUUCUUGAUGUUCUCAUCUUCUGCUGCUAGUUUAGUAACGACAUCUUUGGCUUCACUUACGUUCUCUUGUUCAUCCUUUAAUGGUUCUUCGACUACAUGCUUCUCGUCAGUAAUGGCCUUCUCAAUGACAUCAGCUGGAGAAGGAACGUCUCCUUCAGUCUCCUUUUUGGGUUCUGUGUCUGAGUCUUGGUUUGUGGGUACGACUUUCUCAGGGGACAAUGCAGAACCAGAUUCAGAAGUUUUCUCAUCCUUUGAUGGUUCUUCGACUACAUGCUUCUCUUCAGUAAUGGCCUUCUCAAUGAUAUCAGCAGGAGAAGAAACGUCUUCCUCAGUUUCCUUUUUGGGUUCUGUGUCUAAAUCUUGGUUUGUGGGUACGGCUUUCUCAGGGCACAGAGCAGAACCAGAUUCAGAAGUUGUUUCAUCCUUUGAUGGUUCAUCCACUACAUACUUCUCUUCAGUAAUAGCCUUCUCAAUGACAUCAGCAGGAGCAGCAGCGUCUCCUUCAGUUUCCUCUUUGGGUUUUGUGUCUGAAUCUUGGUUUAUUGGUACAACUUUCUCAGGGGACAAAGCAGCACUUGAUUCAGAAGGUUUUUCCUCAUUUGCUGGUUCAUCCACUACAUGCUUCUCUUCUGUAAUGGCCUUCUCAAUGACGUCAAUAGGAUAAGAAGCGUCUCCUUCAGUCUCCUUUAUGGGGUCAGUGUUUGAUUCUUGGAUUGUCGAUAAAAUUUCCUCAGAGCACAAAGCAGAACCAGAUUCAGAAGUCUUUUCAUCUUUGGAGUUGAUUUCAGAGUCUUUUUCCUCAACAAUUACAUCCUCCAGCUUUCCCUCAAGCUCAACUUUAGCUUGUUCUGUUGCUUCAGCUGUUUCCUCUGCCUUUACUACCUCAACUUCUGUUUCCAAUUCCCUUGCUUUCUCAAGCUGAGUCUCAACCUUUUCAGACGUCUCUGGCUUUGGCUCGACUUCAAGAGCCUCCACAUCUUUGACUUUCUCCUCUGCAAUCUCUGCAGAUACAUCUCUAACGGAUUGAACAUCAACUGAUUCCACCUGUUUGUCUCCAGCUGAUUCAGAGACAUCAACAAUCUUCGUCUCCUCCUGAUCCUUAUGGUCUUCUAUUAGAACGUUCUCCACGGUUUGCUUCUCUUCUGCUUUUUCGGUAUCAACAGUUUCAACAUUAACUUCUGCAACAGUCUCUUUAACAAGGAUUGGCUCUUUAAGUUCCACUUGUUCAGCUCCCUUCUCACCGUUCUCAUGCUUCACUGUCUCUGUAGAUUCCUCUGCUUUCACAACAGCUCCAACCUCUUCCACCACUGCUGGUGAUUCUUUCUCUGGUUCACCAGCAGGAGUUUGAUCAAUCUCCUCUUCUUUGGUGACCACCGGGUUUGAAUCUGAUGCCGGUUUAUCAUUCACCACAUCUGCAGAAUCCGACGAAAUAAUCUCUUUCUCCAUCAACUUAGCUUCCUCGCUCACCUUAUUCUCCAAUGGCUGCAUCAGGUAAAAGUAAACCUCUCUUAUAAUUCACAACAAGAAACCUUAGAAAGGUAUUGCUUCGUUUAUUUCUCUAACUAGAAUCAUACUUUGGAACGUAAGAAGAGUUUUCUAGAAAAAGAUGGACAAAGUUGGUUCUUUAACAUCCAUGUGCAUAAUCUACAACUUUCUGAAAAGUUCCAACUUUUUUUUCCUUCUAAUAAUUGCUGCAGUAAAACAAUGGAAGAAUACACAUACAAGUAUAUUGGACUCUGUCUCAGUGAAAGCAUAUGGAUCUUACAAGUAUCAAAACGUGAUGAAGAAACCUAUCUAUCAACCUCAAAAGCAUCACGCAUAGAGGUACAUAUACAUAAAUACAUACAUGAGCACGAGCUUAGAAAAUAAGAGUCAAGAACAGAGGGAUAGUUUUCAAAAUAGCUUACCUUUUCAGGUGUAGUAACAGUUGG
RNAcentral lists this long non-coding RNA (2394 nucleotides) under Arabidopsis thaliana (thale cress). Its description in RNAcentral is "ncRNA (AT3G05905)". The record is from RNAcentral. Lineage: Eukaryota; Viridiplantae; Streptophyta; Magnoliopsida; Brassicales; Brassicaceae.